UAAUCUCAGCUGGUAAUUAUGAG
Molecule: microRNA, 23 nt
Filed under: Lingula anatina
Lineage: Eukaryota; Metazoa; Brachiopoda; Lingulata; Lingulida; Lingulidae
Description: Lan-Mir-216-P2d1_5p (mature (guide))
Source: RNAcentral